UACGUAGGGGGCAAGCGUUGUCCGGAAUCAUUGGGCGUAAAGAGCGCGUAGGCGGUCCGGUAAGUCCGCUCUGAAAGUCCGGGGCUCAACCCGGGAGGCGGGCGGAUACUGUCGGGCUAGAGUCCGGAAGAGGCGAGUGGAAUUCCUGGUGUAGCGGUGAAAUGCGCAGAUAUCAGGAGGAACACCAAUGGCGAAGGCAGCUCGCUGGGGACGGUACUGACGCUGAGGCGCGAAGCGUGGGGGAGCAAACAGG
Molecule: ribosomal RNA, 253 nt
Filed under: uncultured bacterium
Lineage: Bacteria
Description: partial 16S ribosomal RNA
Rfam family: Bacterial small subunit ribosomal RNA
Source: RNAcentral